This 401-nucleotide ribosomal RNA is filed under the name uncultured bacterium. Its description in RNAcentral is "bacterial SSU rRNA". It matches the Rfam family "Bacterial small subunit ribosomal RNA", at positions 30 to 429 of the family's 1533-position model. The record is from RNAcentral.
AUUGAACGCUGGCGGCAGGCCUAACACAUGCAAGUCGAGCGGAUGAAAGGGGCUUGCUCCUGGAUUCAGCGGCGGACGGGUGAGUAAUACGCAGGAAUCUACCUAGUAGUGGGGGAUAACGUUUCGAAAGGGGACGCUAAUACCGCAUACGUUCUGAGGAAGAAAGCAGGGGAGUCGCAAGACCUUGCGCUAUUAGAUGAGCUUGCGUCCGAUUAGCUAGUUGGUGGGGUAAAGGCCUACCAAGGCGACGAUCGGUAACUGGUCUGAGAGGAUGAUCAGUCACACUGGAACUGAGACACGGUCCAGACUCCUACGGGAGGCAGCAGUGGGGGAAUAUUGGACAAUGGGGGCGAACCCUGAUCCAGCCAUGCCGCGUGUGUGAAGAAGGCCUCGGUUGUAAG